RNAcentral lists this ribosomal RNA (439 nucleotides) under uncultured bacterium. Its description in RNAcentral is "partial 16S ribosomal RNA". It matches the Rfam family "Bacterial small subunit ribosomal RNA", at positions 339 to 795 of the family's 1533-position model. The record is from RNAcentral.
CUACGGGACGCACCAGUGAGGAAUAUUGCACAAUGGGGGGAACCCUGAUGCAGCAACGCCGCGUGGAGGAUGACGCAUUUCGGUGUGUAAACUCCUUUUAUAUGUCAAGAAAAUGACGGUAGCAUAUGAAUAAGCACCGACUAACUCCGUGCAAGCAGCCGCGGUAAUACGGAGGGUGCAAGCGUUACUCGGAAUCACUGGGCGUAAAGGACGCGUAGGCGGGUUGGAAAGUCAGGUGUGAAAUCCUACAGCUUAACUGUAGAACUGCACUUGAAACUUCUAAUCUAGAGUAUGGGAGGGGGAGAUGGAAUUAGUGGUGUAGGGGUAAAAUCCGUAGAUAUCACUAGGAAUACCUAAAGCGAAGGCGAUCUCCUGGAACAUUACUGACGCUAAGGCGUGAAAGCGUGGGGAGCAAACAGGAUUAGAUACCCUUGUAGUC